RNAcentral lists this ribosomal RNA (1164 nucleotides) under uncultured organism. Its description in RNAcentral is "bacterial SSU rRNA". It matches the Rfam family "Bacterial small subunit ribosomal RNA", at positions 45 to 1227 of the family's 1533-position model. The record is from RNAcentral.
UGCCUAAUACAUGCAAGUCGAACGAAGAGCUUGGAGUAGCAAUACCCUGAGUACUCUUAGUGGCGAACGGGUGAGUAACGCGUUGGUGACCUACCCCAAAGAUAGGGAUAACAGUUCGAAAGGACUGCUAAUACCUUAUGUUGUCAUUUUGAUUAGAUGCUAAAUGACUAAAGGAGCUUGCUCCGCUUUGGGAGGGGCCUGCGUCCCAUCAGCUAGUUGGUAGGGUAAUGGCCUACCAAGGCGAUGACGGGUAGGGGACCUGAGAGGGUGGCCCCCCACAAUGGAACUGAAACACGGUCCAUACACCUACGGGUGGCAGCAGUAGGGAAUAUUGGUAAUGUGCGAAAGCGCGAACCAGCAACGCCGCGUGUGCGAAGACGGCCUUCGGGUUGUAAAGCACUUUUCGGGAGGAAGAGGAAGGACUGUACUCCCGGAAUAAGUCUCGGCUAACUACGUGCCAGCAGCCGCGGUAAUACGUAGGAGGCAAACGUUAUCCGGAUUUACUGGGCGUAAAGCGCGUGCAGGCUGUUCAAUAAGUUGGGCGUGAAAGCUCCCGGCUCAACUGGGAGAGGUCGUUCAAUACUGUUGGACUAGAGGAUGGUAGAGGAAGGUGGAAUUCCGGGUGUAGUGGUGAAAUGCGCAGAUAUCCGGAGGAACACCAGUGGCGAAAGCGGCCUUCUGGACCAUUCCUGACGCUCAGACGCGAAAGCUAGGGUAGCGAACGGGAUUAGAGACCCCGGUAGUCCUAGCUGUAAACGAUGUGAACUUGGCGUCGGUGGGAUUAAAUCCAUCGGUGUCGUAGCUAACGCGAUAAGUUCACCGCCUGAGGACUACGGCCGCAAGGUUAAAACUCAAAGGAAUUGACGGGGACCCGCACAAGCAGCGGAGCGUGUGGUUUAAUUCGUUGCUACACGAAGAACCUUACCUGGGUUUGACAUAUAGGUUGUAGGGAACUGAAAAGGGACCGACCAUUCGGGGAGCCUAUACAGGUGUUGCAUGGCUGUCGUCAGCUCGUGUCGUGAGAUGUUCGGUUAAGUCCGCUAACGAGCGCAACCCUCGCCGUAUGUUAUACGUGUCAUACGGGACUGCCGGUAAUAAGCCGGAGGAAGGUGGGGAUGAUGUCAAGUCAGCAUGACCUUUAUAUCCAGGGCUACACACACGCUA